RNAcentral lists this ribosomal RNA (594 nucleotides) under Triticum aestivum (bread wheat). RNAcentral's name for it is "partial small subunit ribosomal RNA". Lineage: Eukaryota; Viridiplantae; Streptophyta; Magnoliopsida; Poales; Poaceae. The record is from RNAcentral.
AUGCCUCGGGAGCUCGCAGGAUCGACGGUCAACGGCGCUGGAGUUCCUGUUGCGGUGGCGGUCAUGGUUCCGAUGGAACUUGGUGCGGAGGAAGGGGUCAGAUGGGGGGUCCGGGACUCAGACGCCGAUUGCAGGGAUGCUCGGGGCAGGGGAAGCAGCGACCAAGGGGGGCGGGAGGAGCUCAGCUCCCCUCGGACAUUGCAGGCUGCUGGUGGAGGAGAUGGUGGCACGGGCGCGUCAUGGUGGCAGAGGAGAAAGGAGGAGGCACCCCGAUCCGGCGGCGGCCAGCAACGGCUCCGGUGGCCGGCACGGUCAAGGGAACAUGCGAACGGGCGCAGCUCCAUGGCGAGGCAGCGGUGUUGGAGGAGGUCGGGCGGCGGCUCCUGCUGGCGCGAAGGUGGAGAGGUGCGGGGCGACGGCAGGGUGGCCUGGACGAGGCCGAGGCCGGGGAGGGAGCGGCCGGUGGAGGCCGGAGCCAGGAGUCGAGGCGGCGGAGCUCCUGCUCGGCGACAGGCGAGGCAGCAAGGAGGAGGCGAUCGGGGAAGCUCGGGGUGCGCCCCUGUGCACGAGCAAAGAGAGGGAAGGAGAUGGUGA